This 2865-nucleotide long non-coding RNA is filed under the name Sus scrofa (pig). Its description in RNAcentral is "lncRNA (ENSSSCG00030011558.1)". Lineage: Eukaryota; Metazoa; Chordata; Mammalia; Artiodactyla; Suidae. The record is from RNAcentral.
UUUUGGACAAUCAUGCCACCUAGUGGCCAUUCAGACACACAACCAUAGGUCUCUGCAAGAGGCCCGCGGAUGACACACAUGCUCACCGCAGGAGGGAUGUGACCACAUCCAAGGUGAGGAACAGAGAGAUGAGCCCCAGCGACGGGAAGCAAGUUACAAAGUUAAAGAGAAGAAGCCAGCGUGGAUAGUGUGGAAAACUCGCACCCACGAGUUAGGACAGGGUCCUGAUUCAGACUUUUGCUUAAAUUCUACCUUUGGAUAAAUGUUUCCUUCACUCACUCAACAAACUUUGGCUGAGCACCUACUAUGUGCCCAUUGCUGUGUCAGAUGGUGCGGACAUGACCAUAAGCCAGGAGUACUAGCCUCUAGCUUCACAGUCCCAGAGGGGAGGAAGAUAAUUAAACUGAGAAUCAACAGUGACACCACCAGUUAAUAUAAAUGAAAGACUGACUCUGCUGCCAGAUACUGUGCCAGCAGCUUGAGGAUCACUAACCUGAGUGGGCUUUCCAACAGUCACGAUGGGGGUAAAUUACAUUCGGGAUGGAUAAGCAGUGGGAUCCUACUGUACAGCACAGGAAACAAUCUAAUCUCUUGUGAUAGAACAUGAUGAGAGAUAGUAUGUGGAAAAAAAUGUAUAUAUAUAUAUAUAUGUAUGAUUGGGUCACUUUGCUGUACAGCAGAAAUUGAAGGAAUAUUGUAAAUCAACCAUACUUUAAUAAAAAAUUUUUAAAUGAGUGGGAGGACGUGUAAGCUAUGACUAAUAAACUCAAGGCUCUUAUGCCUUUCUAAGUUUCUGAAAGUGAGGUUGUUGGACUAGAUACUGAAAAAAUUUCCAAGGGCUCUUCCCAGCUCAGUUUCUCUUUACUUCUAGGACCUUUUGGGUAGAGCUUAGACUAGGAACCAGGUCAUCUGACCAAGACUCUAGGGCCUUCUCUUCAUCCACUAUGCUAAUCAGUGCUUAUUAAUAAUACUGGUAGUUAUCAAAUGCUUACUAUAUGUUAUAUUCUGAAUUUACAUCAGCUGACGCAACCCUUUUAACAAACCAUGAAACUAUGAAAUAUGUUUAGAUGGGAAUAAUACCUGAGUUAAAAAAUCACUCUCGGGGUUCCCAUCAUGGCACAGUGGAAACGAAUCUGACUAGGAACCAUGAGGUUGUGGGUUUGAUCCCUGGCUUUGCUCAGUGGGUUAAGGAUCUGGCGUUGCCCUGACCUGUGGUGUGGGUCAUGGACAUGGCUCAGAUCUGGUGUUGCUGCAGCUCUGGCAUAGGCUGGUAGCAAUAGCUCUGAUUGGACCCCUAGUCUGGGAACCUCCACAUGCCGCAGGUGAGGCCCUAAAAGCUCAAAAGACAAAAAAAAAAAAAAAAAAAANAAAAAAAAAAAAAUCACUCGCUAAUUUUUUUUUAAAAUGUCCCAAGACAAAUGGAGAAGUUUCCAAUCUAACCCAAGAGUAUGAUUCUUAACUACCGUGUUCCUGAUUGAUCUGGUUACAUGGUGGAUUAAAAAUACUUAUGGAUGGGUGGCUUCAGGUUCCCAGGACCAGAAUGGACAAUGGGCCCAAGCAAAUGAUGGUUCAAAAAGCAGUUACCGUUCAGGGAAAUAAGGAGCACAUUUCUCAGCAACAUUGCACUGGGGGUAUCUCUGGGCUCCAAGAAUAGCUGCAGAGCCUGCAAGGCCAAAUGCAGGCAGACACGACCCCUUGCUUUUAUUUCUGAUCCCAAGUGAAUAAAGUACGUUCCCAUCGUAAGAGCUGUCAUGCCCCCAUAGUCCUGCAAUCAUUGCUUUGUCUCUCUGUGGACUGGGAACACAGAAGAUGGGCUGGGUGGCUUGUCUAACUUUAGGCACUCAGUAUCUAGCACCACAUCUGGAUCACAGAGGUGCUGACUUCCAAAGAACUGGAAAGGAGAGUAAGGAAUUCCAGGGCUGGAUAAGGCCUCAGAGGUCAUCUCAUUUCAGCUCUGGCCCAAUACAAGAUUUCCUUAGAAAAUCAUUAAAAAAAAAAAAAAUCAAAAGUUUAAAAAAGUGUGGUGUGGUUUCCCCUUGUGACUAAGUGGUAAUGAAUCUGAUUAUUAUCCAUGAGGACAUGGGUUUGAUCCCUGGCCCCGCUCAGCAGGUUAAGGAUCUGGCAUUGCCCUGAGCUGUGGGGUAGGUCACAGAUGCAGCUCAGAUCCUGCAUUGCUGUGGCUGUGGUAUAGGCUGGCGGCUGCAGCUCCAAUUCAAUCCCUCGCCUGGGAACUUCCAUACGCCUCAAGUGUGGUCCUGGGGCGGGGGGGUAGGGGUGUGUGUGUGUGUGUACACAUUUGUACAUAUAGGGUAUCCUUCUCAUGUGCCAGGAUGAGUAAAGACACGUGUAAAGACACCGAGAGCAAGAUUUAAGAUUCACUCAGCUCUUCUUUCUUUGAGAAUUAGCCAUCAUCUUUGCUGAGAGGUUUGGCUUUGCCCUUAUUUUUGAAGAAAGAUAUGCUAUUGAGAAAAAAAAAUGUGUAAAAUACAUGUAACACAACUUAACACCUUUGCUCUAUUUCCUUCUACUCUUUGUUCAGGGGGUUUCUAAGGUAGCGAAACCCACGCCCUAUUAUACAAUGUUAUGUUCUGCUUCUUUUCAGCAAUGGUAUUCUCCUUGGUGAUUAUAAGCUCUUCAUAAGCAUCAGCUUUAUUUUUUAUUUAUUUAUUUAUUUAUCUUGUCUUUUUGCCAUUUCUUGGGCCGAUCCCAUGGCAUAUGGAGGUUCCCAGGCUAUGGGUCUAAUCGGAGCUAUAGCCACCCACCUACGCCACAGCCACAGCAACGUGGGAUCCGAGCCGCGUCUGCAACCCACACCACAGCUCACAGCAACACCAGAUCCUUAACCCGCUGAGCAAGGCCAGGGAU